AACGAACGCUGGCGGCAUGCCUAACACAUGCAAGUCGAACGAAGCCUUCGGGCUUAGUGGCGCACGGGUGCGUAACGCGUGGGAAUCUGCCCUUGGGUUCGGAAUAACAGUUAGAAAUGACUGCUAAUACCGGAUGAUGUCUUCGGACCAAAGAUUUAUCGCCCAAGGAUGAGCCCGCGUAGGAUUAGGUAGUUGGUGGGGUAAAGGCCUACCAAGCCGACGAUCCUUAGCUGGUCUGAGAGGAUGAUCAGCCACACUGGGACUGAGACACGGCCCAGACUCCUACGGGAGGCAGCAGUGGGGAAUAUUGGACAAUGGGGGAAACCCUGAUCCAGCAAUGCCGCGUGAGUGAUGAAGGCCUUAGGGUCGUAAAGCUCUUUUACCAGGGAUGAUAAUGACAGUACCUGGAGAAUAAGCUCCGGCUAACUCCGUG
Molecule: ribosomal RNA, 433 nt
Filed under: uncultured bacterium
Lineage: Bacteria
Description: bacterial SSU rRNA
Rfam family: Bacterial small subunit ribosomal RNA
Source: RNAcentral